This 253-nucleotide ribosomal RNA is filed under the name uncultured bacterium. RNAcentral's name for it is "partial 16S ribosomal RNA". It matches the Rfam family "Bacterial small subunit ribosomal RNA", at positions 524 to 776 of the family's 1533-position model. The record is from RNAcentral.
UACGUAGGGUCCGAGCGUUGUCCGGAAUUAUUAGGCGUAAAGGGUGCGUAGGCGGCGCGGUAAGUCGGGUGUGAAAUCUCGGAGCUUAACUCCGAAACUGCAUUCGAUACUGCCGUGCUUGAGGACUGGAGAGGAGACUGGAAUUUACGGUGUAGCGGUGAAAUGCGUAGAUAUCGUAAGGAAGACCAGUGGCGAAGGCGGGUCUCUGGACAGUUCCUGACGCUGAGGCACGAAGGCCAGGGGAGCAAACGGG